RNAcentral lists this transfer RNA (73 nucleotides) under Streptococcus constellatus. RNAcentral describes it as "tRNA-Thr". It matches the Rfam family "tRNA". Rfam says of the family: Transfer RNA (tRNA) molecules are approximately 80 nucleotides in length. Their secondary structure includes four short double-helical elements and three loops (D, anti-codon, and T loops). RNAcentral also lists the same sequence under 1 other name. Lineage: Bacteria; Bacillati; Bacillota; Bacilli; Lactobacillales; Streptococcaceae. The record is from RNAcentral.
GCUGGUUUAGCUCAGUUGGCAGAGCGCAUCCAUGGUAAGGAUGAGGUCGCCGGUUCGAUCCCGGCAAUUAGCA